CCUUCGUCAUCGUUCAGCUUGGAAGCGUGCUUUCGGAUGUAGGAGAUAAACCAUUCGCUAUUGAAAGUAAAGAUUAAUCUCAGGUGAACACCAGAGACAGUUCGCACAAAUUAAUAUCAAUCGUCUUGUUGAUCAUAAAGGUUGGGAAAAAAAUGUGGAACCAUUUGUCAAACGUGCACAAUGCAAUACAGAUAUGCAGCUACGGGAAUGUGCUUAUAAACGCUCGAGAUCAUUAAAGUUGUAUAUACAUACCUGAAGAAGACACAAGAAAAAAUGAUUUCAACUUGCUAUAAAGUACACCAGCAGAUUGUACAACUUCUUCGCUUCCUGUGUAUUUACGUAUCUAAACACAAUGAAAGAUUUUUAUUGUAUAAUACAUCGUUGCCCUUCAAA
This is a long non-coding RNA of Xenia sp. Carnegie-2017, 393 nucleotides long. RefSeq lists it as uncharacterized. Lineage: Eukaryota; Metazoa; Cnidaria; Anthozoa; Malacalcyonacea; Xeniidae. The transcript is spliced from 2 exons. The record is from RefSeq and is a predicted model, not a curated record.